AGAGUUUGAUCCUGGCUCAGAUUGAACGCUGGCGGCAGGCCUAACACAUGCAAGUCGAGCGGAAACGGCAGUAUUGAAGCUUCGGUGGAUUUACUGGACGUCGAGCGGCGGACGGGUGAGUAACGGCUGGGAACCUGCCCUGACGAGGGGGAUAACCGUUGGAAACGACGGCUAAUACCGCAUAAUGUCUUGAUUCGUUAGAGUCAGGACCAAAGGUGGCCUCUACAUGUAAGCUAUCGCGUUGGGAUGGGCCCAGUUAGGAUUAGCUAGUUGGUAAGGUAAUGGCUUACCAAGGCAACGAUCCUUAGCUGGUUUGAGAGGAUGAUCAGCCACACUGGGACUGAGACACGGCCCAGACUCCUACGGGAGGCAGCAGUGGGGAAUAUUGCACAAUGGGGGAGACCCUGAUGCAGCCAUGCCGCGUGUGUGAAGAAGGCCUUCGGGUUGUAAAGCACUUUCAGCAGUGAGGAAGGUCGUGUACUUAAUACGUGCACGGCUUGACGUUAGCUGCAGAAGAAGCACCGGCUAACUCCGUGCCAGCAGCCGCGGUAAUACGGAGGGUGCGAGCGUUAAUCGGAAUUACUGGGCGUAAAGCGCAUGCAGGCGGUUUGUUAAGUCAGAUGUGAAAGCCCGGGGCUCAACCUCGGAACCGCAUUUGAAACUGGCAGGCUAGAGUCUUGUAGAGGGGGGUAGAAUUUCAGGUGUAGCGGUGAAAUGCGUAGAGAUCUGAAGGAAUACCAGUGGCGAAGGCGGCCCCCUGGACAAAGACUGACGCUCAGAUGCGAAAGCGUGGGUAGCAAACAGGAUUAGAUACCCUGGUAGUCCACGCCGUAAACGCUGUCUACUUGGAGGUUGAGGUUUUAGACUUUGGCUUUCGGCGCUAACGCAUUAAGUAGACCGCCUGGGGAGUACGGCCGCAAGGUUAAAACUCAAAUGAAUUGACGGGGGCCCGCACAAGCGGUGGAGCAUGUGGUUUAAUUCGAUGCAACGCGAAGAACCUUACCUACUCUUGACAUCCAGCGAAGCCUUUAGAGAUAGAGGCGUGCCUUCGGGAGCGCUGAGACAGGUGCUGCAUGGCUGUCGUCAGCUCGUGUUGUGAAAUGUUGGGUUAAGUCCCGCAACGAGCGCAACCCUUAUCCUUGUUUGCCAGCACAUAAUGGUGGGAACUCCAGGGAGACUGCCGGUGAUAAACCGGAGGAAGGUGGGGACGACGUCAAGUCAUCAUGGCCCUUACGAGUAGGGCUACACGCGUGCUACAAUGGCAGAUACAGAGGGCAGCGAGACAGCGAUGUUUAGCGAAUCCCUUAAAGUUUGUCGUAGUCCGGAUUGGAGUCUGCAACUCGACUCCAUGAAGUCGGAAUCGCUAGUAAUCGUGGAUCAGAAUGCCACGGUGAAUACGUUCCCGGGCCUUGUACACACCGCCCGUCACACCAUGGGAGUGGGCUGCACCAGAAGUAGAUAGCUUAACCUUCGGGAGGGCGUUUACCACGGUGUGGUUCAUGACUGGGGUGAAGUCGUAACAAGGUAACCA
Molecule: ribosomal RNA, 1531 nt
Filed under: uncultured Salinivibrio sp.
Lineage: Bacteria; Pseudomonadati; Pseudomonadota; Gammaproteobacteria; Vibrionales; Vibrionaceae
Description: bacterial SSU rRNA
Rfam family: Bacterial small subunit ribosomal RNA
Source: RNAcentral